GAUUAUUACAUAUAUAUUUUUUCAUCCACAGAUAUAGCUUUAACACUCAGACGUGGGGAAAGCUAGCUGUACUACCCAGCUCCAGCCCUCCUCCCCACCGGAUCCAUCACUGCUGUGUCGGCCUGGGCUGCAGUUACCAGUCGGCCUUGACCACCACCACAAGCACCACCAUGACACCCAGCGUCACCGCCAGGAACCGCCUGGAGAGCAAGUUACGCCCGUUUAAAAACAAAUGCUUUCCGUCCAAUCCAGACACCGGAGGUGAUAUUGAACUGAAGACAUUUAAUAGGGACCCUCUGUUGACUGAAGUGACGGACUGUCAUAAUGCCGUUAACGGCAAGGGCGUUGAACCCGUAGGGAAUUGUCUUACCUUUGAGAAUCAGGAGGCCUUCGGUGAAAAGUGGAGCUGCUGGGAUACAGAGAAGGAGGGUACAUGUGAACUGGAGGAGAGCAAUGACAGCAUGGCACAACACCUUCCCGAUUUGCUGUUGGUGCUGGGGGGGAAGCCCUUAACCCGACACACAACCGUCUCAGUGUGGCAGAUGACACUGGCUAACCUGUAACCACUGAGCCCAAAGAGAGGACGCUAGUGGUUUUUGAAGUAGAAAAAGCAGCGUUUUUCUAUGGAAAUGAAACACAAAGCGGGGGUGUACUGCUAGAGUUACUGCUUGGCGCUUAGAGUUCCCUUCUGUGGAUGUGUUAGUCCACUUUCAGUUCUUCCCAAUUGAUUUGACACAUUACUCCAAACGGAGGUUUAUUCUCUGAAAAUACAGUUAGGUCUGGAAAUAUUUGGACACUGACACAAUAUACAUACUUUUGGCUCUGUACGCCACCACAAUUGAUUUGAAAUGAAACAACCGAGAUGCAGUUGAAGUGCAGACUUAUAGCUUUAAUUCAAGGGGAUGAGCAAAAAUAUUGAAUCCACCAUGUUUUAUAGGAUCAUGGGCCAUUCCAAGUCUUCUCCAUACCUCUUCCCCAUCAUUCUGGUACAGGUUGAUCUUAGUUUUAUCUGUCCAAAGAAUGCCGUUCCAUAACUUUGGUAAGUCUAAUCUGGCCUUUCUAUUCUUGAGGCUUAUGAAUUAUUUGCACCUUGUGGUGAACCCUCUGUAUUUGCUGUCGUGAAGUCUUCUCUUUAUGAUAGACAUGGAUAAUGAUAUGCCCACCAGAAUGAUGGGAAGAAAAGAAAAAAGGAAAUUAUCCUACCUCCACCACUGUUGUCUUCCGUGGACGUCCAGGAUUUUCUGUGUUGCAGAGCUCACCAGUGCAUAAUUUUUUUUCUGUAACCAAACUGUUGAUUUGGCCACUCCUAAUGUUCCUGCUAUCUCUGACAGAUUUUUUUUGUGUAGCCCUCAAAUAAAAGCUGAGAGACUGCACUUUAAGCCCAUAUUUAUUAUUUAACUGUAACUUGAAUAUAUUUUGGUGAACAGCCAUAAUAACUAAACUUGUGUCAGUGUCCAAUUAUGUCCAGACCUAACUGUAGACAACACAACCAUUGGAACAGACUCAUUGCAAAAUGAAGUGUUGUUUUUUUAUUGUCUCCAGAUAAUUAAAUAAAAAAUCUUUUCAUCAGGGUAUUUUCAAAAUCAGAAUUUACUUUUUCUUGAGCCAGACAUAGAGGGGGUAACAUUCUGCAAGUGUUUUAUCCUUCUGUAACAUGCAUUGGCCUCUUUGUCUACACAGGCCUCCUCCAUGGCCUGGAGAAAUGUUACCCUGUUAUGGGGUUCUCCAGGAGGAAAAUAAGUGCUCAACUGGGUUCAAAAAUGGAGAGUACGGUGGUAGGAACACAGUCACAAAACGUGGGUGGUUUUCAAUCCACUCCCAUAGCAAUGCUGAAUGCAGGAAUCUGAAAUUGUCCCAAACCAUCACAAACUACAUUUGUUCUAGUUGUUCCAGGUCUUCAGUGAGGGAAUUGAAAACAAAUUGAGGAGUCUUGCUGUAUUGUAUGGCCCCAAGACAACCACAUUCAAUGAGAUUGAAGGACAGAUGGUUGGCCCCACUUUGACCCAGGAAAUUGGCCAUGGUUGAUAAUUCCAUCUCCUUUUUUUUGGUGAGAUUGAAGACAGAAUCAUCAACAUAGUUUUUCAUCUAACUCCACAAUCCUCCAAUAACAAAACCCAAAAACGUAAUGGUUACUAUUGUUGAAGUUGAGCUGACAACAUGUGAUGAGCAGUCUAACCUUUACUCCCUGCUAGGUGAGGCUUAUGUUGAUGUAGGGCUAGGCACAGGGAGACUUGUAUUUCUGCUGCAUAACAUUAACUAUUUAUUAGCACAACACCCAAGGUAGCCUGCCUAUAGUUUCAGGGGUACCAGUCUCCAUAGGAAAUCAAUGGUUCAGCUGAAACUAAGUGUUGUUACCGGUAAUCAGAUGUUGUCAGUUUCACACAUCGUUACAGUUACAGUAAUUUUCACAGGGUUAACGUUAGUUACAUUCAUUUUCACAUUGUUUCUGUUAUAGUUGCAGUCAUUUUCACAUGGUUAUAAUUACAGUUAGUCACAACUUUAUCGUAACAGUUACAGUCAUUUCCAUGCCAAAUUUGAAUGAAAACCAGAGUCCAACAUUAACGAUUGUCUGCUUGCCCAGGGCCAGUAAAAAGUGGAUCUCGUCAGUUAAUUGCCCGACAUCUUCAGUUAAACAUUUAUUCCCUGCUCUAGCCUACCGCUGAAAACUGUUGAAAACAACUUGUGAAAUACGUUCCUACUCCCAAACAUCUCUAUAAAAAUUGCAACAAUAAAGUCAUGCAUUCAUGCUUUUUUUAUUAGUUACUUAUUCAGCAGUCAACACAUCAGCAUUUGCAUAAAAUGACUUCUCUACUUGCGCACAACCAGCACUCCUGUAAAAUUGCAAGUAGGAGCUAAGGGCAGGCGGCGGUAGAAGUGAAUAAUUCUAAUAAAAAGGACUAAGACAUAAGAAAACUAAAACAAUAAAGGAACAGUAUUACAAAAGGAACAGGAACUUCACAAUGACCAACAAGAUGCACUAGGGGCGGAAGAACGUAAAUAGGGACAGUGAUCAAUAACAAAUUGCUCCGUGCUUAAAAUUUGGGAAGAGGCUUUUGGAUCUCACUGCAGGACGUGACAACUGCGGCAUUAUGAGUAGAAAAUGUAUCGAUUGGCUUUCUUUGUUAUUAUCAACAGCUUGCUUAAAUAAAUAAGUAAUAUUUUUGUUUCUCUGGCUAUGGCGGUAGUAACAUUAUUUUGUGCAAGUUGCAGAAACAAUAUAGUGCCCUUAUUUGUGUCAGUCUCAAGGAACGGACAGAGAUUUGAAAGAUGUAAGGAAGCUUCCCUCUCCCUCGCUACUCAAACUCUCACCAGAUGCAGGCAACAUCAGUCCAGCAAAAUAAAGAAAACUACCAAAAUAAUAUGCUUAAAAUGACUCUGCUGUGCCUCACAAGUAAUACAACACUAUCUAUAACCAGUGUAAUCUGGUAUGUCAAGUAACACAACACGCUGCAUAACCAGUGUCAUCUGGUACGUUAAGUAACACAACACGCUACAUAACCAGUGUCAUCUGGUACGUCAAUUAACACAACACACUGUAUAACCAGUGUCAUUAUGUACCUCUACUAAUACAACACAAUGUAUAAUCAGUGUCAUCAAGUACCUCUAGUAAAACAACACACUGUAUAAUCAGUCUCAUCAGGUACCUGUAGUAACACAACACACCGUAUAAUCAGUGUCAUCUGGUAUGCCAAGUAACACAACACGCUGCAUAACCAGUGUCUUCUGGUAUGUCAAGUAACAACACACUGCAUAAACAGUGUCAUCGGGUACCUCUACUAAUACAACACACAGCAUAACCAUUGUCAUCUGGUACAUCAAGUAACACAACACGCUGCAUAACCAGUGUCAUCAAGUAUCUCUAGUAAUACAACAC
Esox lucius (northern pike) is the source of this 3874-nucleotide long non-coding RNA. Lineage: Eukaryota; Metazoa; Chordata; Actinopteri; Esociformes; Esocidae. The record is from Ensembl.